RNAcentral lists this unclassified non-coding RNA (186 nucleotides) under uncultured Clavaria. Its description in RNAcentral is "sequence contains ITS1". Lineage: Eukaryota; Fungi; Basidiomycota; Agaricomycetes; Agaricales; Clavariaceae. The record is from RNAcentral.
UCGAUUCAAAAAGGAUGUGCUGGCCGCAAGGCAUAAGUGCACUCCGAAUCUCACAUCUCCCUGUGCACUUACUGUGGGCGGAAAUGGGGCUUUUGUCCCGAUUUGCUCAUGUUUUUACACACUCUUAUCAUAUAUCAUGAAUGUAUACAAAGUAGGCUUUGUUUCAAAGCUGAAAAUAAAACAAUA